RNAcentral lists this small RNA (167 nucleotides) under Helianthus annuus (common sunflower). RNAcentral's name for it is "hypothetical non coding rna". The stretch from base 91 to 165 matches the Rfam family "tRNA". Lineage: Eukaryota; Viridiplantae; Streptophyta; Magnoliopsida; Asterales; Asteraceae. The record is from RNAcentral.
GCUCUGCAGCUGGUCUACAAGCAAGGUAAGUAGGUCCAUGCGAGCGGCCCGGAUGUACCUUUUAGCCGCGAGGGGAACCGGGUAAACAAAGUCGCGAUCAGACUGAAUGGUAGUUUGCUGGGCCUGUUGCUCCCGGAGGCGCUGGUUCGAAUCCAGUUCGUGACAAC